Molecule: long non-coding RNA, 1149 nt
Filed under: Oryctolagus cuniculus (rabbit)
Lineage: Eukaryota; Metazoa; Chordata; Mammalia; Lagomorpha; Leporidae
Description: lncRNA (ENSOCUG00000031088.1)
Source: RNAcentral
AUGCUGCUUUUCUUGUUUUGUCCAAAAACUCGACUCUGCCAGGGGUUUCCAGCUGUGACACGCACCAGUGGCGAGUCUGGCCCCAGCUGCGAUUUCCCCAGGGAGCCCGAGGCACCGUCUCCUUCCACCUACCAAACCCAGAUCUGCAAAGUAAGCAGUCGACAAAGAACCAAGGUCCCCAACAGGCCAGGGGACAGGCGCGGACAGCCAGGACCCUGCAGACCGCCGGGCAAAGUGCAUGCAGAGGCCCACGGGGAGGGGACCUCAGUGAGAAAGGGCGUCCAAGGCUACCUCAACCUCAGUGAGAAGGGCCGGGGGAGUGGCCGCCGGCAUCCCCCUCCCUGGGGACGCUGUGCAGGGCUGGAGGCCCGCAGCCUUCAUUGCCACCAAAGCAUCACAGCGAGACCAGAAGUGACAGCAAAACCACGACGUGCAUGCGUGACCUGCAUUCUGCCCUUCCAGUUCCUCCCUGCGUCUGGGGCUAACGUGGAGGGCGGAGCACCAAGGUGGACCCAGUGUGGGGGCGGAGCUGGGGCGCUGGGCUGGGCACAGCAUUUGCCUGGAGUCGGUUCAGCUCUGCAGUGCUUGCUCCCUCAUAUCCGUGGUAUCCUCUGUGCGGUGUUAGAGCGUCAGGGAGGAGAAGAGCAGGAGCCCGCAUCACCUGCCCAUCUCCUGCAGGAACACCCCACCCUGGGGGCCACAGCCAACACUAGCUCCCACCAGGGGUGCUUGGGAAGCGACUCUAGGGGCUUGUGUUGUGGUGCAGGGGGUUAAGGCACUGCCUGUGACAUUGGCAUCCCGUGUGAGCACUGUUCAAGUCCCGGCUGCUCCACUCCCUAUCCAGCUCCCUGCUAAUGCGCCUGGGAAAGUGGGGGAUGAUGGCCCAGGUCGUUGGGCCCCGGCAACCCACAUGGGAGACUUGGAUGAAGCUCCGGGCUCCUGGCUUCAGCCUGGCCCAGCCCCAGGCUGUUGCGGCCAUUGGAGGAGUGAACCUGCAGAUGGGAGAAUCUGUCUCUCUCUGUCUCUGUCUCUCUCUCUCUCUCUCUCUCUCUCUCUCUCUCCAUCCCCCCUUACUCACUCCACCCUUGCUCCCCCUCUGUAACUCUGCCUGUCAAGUAAACAAAUAAACCUCUACAAAACAAGAAAGCA